RNAcentral lists this long non-coding RNA (721 nucleotides) under Pongo abelii (Sumatran orangutan). RNAcentral's name for it is "lincRNA". The record is from RNAcentral. Lineage: Eukaryota; Metazoa; Chordata; Mammalia; Primates; Hominidae.
ACUGACUCUCUUUUCGGACUCAGCCCGCGUGCACCCAGAUGAAGAAAUUGAGGUUCAGAGAAGUUAAACGACCUUCCUAAGAUUACACAGCUUAGUAAGUGGCAGAACCAUGGCUGGAAGCCAGGUCCUUCCUCACAGCAAGUCCUGGCUCAUUCAUUCCUUUUCCAAAGACUUGCUGAGCACCUUCUAGGUGCCAGAUGUGGUGCUGGCUCCUGGGGACAUGGGAAUGAACAGGCCAGGUGUGGCCCUGAACCAUCAAAUAGACAACCACAGAAAUAACAAAGAAUGAUGCUGGAGGCAGAGGAAGAUAAGGGUGGAAAGUGGGCGAUAAAUCAGGAGCUGUUGCAACAGUCCCAGCAAAGGAUAAUGGUGAAUAACAAAGACAAAACUGGGCCCUUCUACACAGUAGCUGGAACACAAAGGAAGAUCAGCCAAGCCUCAACAUAAUCUCAUAAAAAUUCUUCAAAUAUCCCAUUGUUAUGGAUUCAUACAUCAGGAAAGCAGAUGCCAAGAACCUGAAUACCUUCUACUGGUAACAUAUAUUUUGGCGAGCCAGCCCGGAGACAAGACCACUAUGGGCAACUUCCCAUCUAUUCUAUCUGGUGUCACUGUGGACAACUUCCUAUCUAUUCCACCCGAUUCACCGCUUGGCUACAUCCUCCACCAUUGGGAUGAAUUUGACCCUGACAACCUAAAGAAAACGUGUAUGAUUUUUUUACUG